UACAGAGGGUGCAAGCGUUGUCCGGAAUCACUGGGCGUAAAGGGCGCGUAGGCGGCCUGAUAAGUCGGGGGUGAAAUUCUGCGGCUUAACCGCAGGACGGCCUUCGAGACUGUCGGGCUUGAGCACGGUAGAGGCAGGUGGAAUUCCUGGUGUAGCGGUGAAAUGCGCAGAUAUCAGGAGGAACACCGGUGGCGAAGGCGGAUCUCUGGGCCAUUACUGACGCUGAGGAGCGAAAGCGUGGGGAGCGAACAGG
RNAcentral lists this ribosomal RNA (253 nucleotides) under uncultured bacterium. RNAcentral's name for it is "partial 16S ribosomal RNA". It matches the Rfam family "Bacterial small subunit ribosomal RNA", at positions 524 to 776 of the family's 1533-position model. The record is from RNAcentral.